CUUCACUACAACUUUGCAUUGAUUUUGAAUUUUUGAUGUGUAGGAUAGUUGGGAGACUUUGAAGUGGUGUCGCCAGGCAUCAUGGAGUCGUCGUUGAAAUACCAACCUUUAAACAUUUAGAAUCUAAUUCCAUUAGCAAUUGGAAAACAGUGCAUGGUGGGUAGUUUGACUGGGGUGGUCGCCUCCUAAAAAGUAACGGAGGCUUGCAAAGGUUCCCUCAGUACGGUUGGUAAUCGUACAUAGAGCGUAUUAGUAUAAGGGAGCUUGACUGUGAGACAGACAAGUCGAGCAGGGACGAAAGUCGGCUAAAGUGAUCCGGUGGUUCUGUAUGGAAGGGCCAUCGCUCAAAGGAUAAAAGGUA
This 361-nucleotide ribosomal RNA is filed under the name uncultured organism. Its description in RNAcentral is "bacterial LSU rRNA". It matches the Rfam family "Bacterial large subunit ribosomal RNA", at positions 2099 to 2465 of the family's 2925-position model. The record is from RNAcentral.